GCAAAGUGAGGGAAGUUUAAAACAUGGGCGGGUGGAGGGAGGAGCAGAACAGCGCGGGACGCUUCCCCGCCGCUUCCGAGGGUUAAUUACGCGUUACAUAAUAGCAUCUGGAAAAUGAAGAAACUAACCCGAACGAAACGAGUGCGUGUAUUCAAAUAUGGACAUCGCUUCCUUCUCGCCGGCCAGAUGUUAUUUAUCCAAUCGCAACGGUCCACCCCCGCUCCGUCUUGUCUCUCCCAGUCCACACCCAACCGCGCGCCCC
This 262-nucleotide long non-coding RNA is filed under the name Ganoderma lucidum. RNAcentral describes it as "long non-coding RNA (GLUC_LNC000034)". Lineage: Eukaryota; Fungi; Basidiomycota; Agaricomycetes; Polyporales; Polyporaceae. The record is from RNAcentral.